This is a long non-coding RNA of Arabidopsis thaliana (thale cress), 332 nucleotides long. RefSeq annotates it as other RNA. NCBI's taxonomy places the organism in Eukaryota, Viridiplantae, Streptophyta, Magnoliopsida, Brassicales, Brassicaceae. The record is from RefSeq. The transcript has a single exon.
AGCUUCAAAGGUUCAAAGAAACCUAAUUCACAUAAAAAACAAACCUUUUCAUAUAAAAUAACAAUUACUGGAUAACUGGAAUAUAAACAGAUACGUUUCAGUACUCAUAAACACAUACACAAUUACAUCAACUAAAGUGUAGAAUCAUUUCUGAGUGAGUUUAUCAUUAUCUCAGCUCACCAACACAAAAUCAGUAAAAUCUUAUAAAUUGAGUGAAUGGAUAGUUCUGCAGAUAAACAAAUAUAUGAAUUCAAAAUCAAACAGCAGACGAAUCGUAACUAAAGGUGUAAGCUUUAGAUUCUCGAACUCACCCGAUUCGAAGAAAGAUGAAU